Molecule: transfer RNA, 71 nt
Filed under: Caulophryne jordani (fanfin angler)
Lineage: Eukaryota; Metazoa; Chordata; Actinopteri; Lophiiformes; Caulophrynidae
Description: tRNA-Gln
Rfam family: tRNA
About the family: Transfer RNA (tRNA) molecules are approximately 80 nucleotides in length.
Source: RNAcentral
UAGGAAGUGGUGUAGUGGAAGCACUAGGAGUUUUGAUCUCCUCAGUUAGGGUUCGAUCCCCUUCUUCCUAA